UCAAAGUAUGACAUCUUUUCUGCUCUACGUCCUUAUUUUUGACAUAUUCUGUGCUAUGUAAACUUACAAAUUGAAAAUAGCGGUAAAUAACAAUUUUAUUUUUUCUUAUGACAAGUGAAUCCGCAGCGCUGCACCACCCGCCCAGGUUAAAUUCCCACUGAUGUGUCGACUAAUUCUACAUCCAACCUUUUCGGCAAACAGGAAGCGUCUUCAUUUCUCUGCAAUAUUUACAAGAGCCAGUCAACAGUGUUCUGCAGAAGAUUUAGUACCUUGGAAGUUACCAACCACCUUAAGAACCCAGGAUACAUGGAAGUUUUCUGUAUGACCUCUUCUAUGCUAAGAUACAAUUCCAAGACAUGUACUUAUUCUAGCUUUUUUCGAAUGUCUAUGUUGUCUGAAGUUUCUACAAUAGGGUAACUCUUUUCCCACCAGUGACAUGUCUGACUAAUUGUACUCCCAACCUUUACUGCAAACAGGAAGUGAUCUUCAUUCCUCUGCAAUUUUUACUAGAGCCAUUCAACGGUGUUUUGCCGAAGAUUUAGUACCUUGAAGGUUACCAACCACCUGAAGAACCCAGGAUACAUGAGAAGUCUUCUGUGUGACAUCUUCUAUGCGAGGAAAUCACAAGUUAUUGCAGUUGGUGGUAGCACCUCCUGGUUUGGGAAACUCGAGGUGAUUGCACCAUGAGUUCGUUUUGAAUGUGUCAACGAAAAAUGAACUUUGGCUAUAUGUACUCUUCUGGCUGGGUGUCAAUCGUCAUGUUCAGAUGAACCUGUUGACAACCUCUUUUUAAUUUAAAUUGGAGCCAAAGUAGUAACAGUGUUCUUGGAACAAAAAAAGUACGAAAAGAUGAAAAAUAGUAUCAUUUAUUCAUAUGAAGUUUCAAAUAUAUCAUAAAGAAGCAUGUGUAGAGAACUUACUUAGUCCAAU
RNAcentral lists this long non-coding RNA (930 nucleotides) under Capsicum annuum. RNAcentral describes it as "long non-coding RNA (CANN_LNC009034)". Lineage: Eukaryota; Viridiplantae; Streptophyta; Magnoliopsida; Solanales; Solanaceae. The record is from RNAcentral.